This 250-nucleotide non-coding RNA is filed under the name Novosphingobium malaysiense. Its description in RNAcentral is "Eukaryotic large subunit ribosomal RNA". It matches the Rfam family "Eukaryotic large subunit ribosomal RNA", at positions 976 to 1227 of the family's 3401-position model. The record is from Rfam by way of RNAcentral. Lineage: Bacteria; Pseudomonadati; Pseudomonadota; Alphaproteobacteria; Sphingomonadales; Sphingomonadaceae.
GGAUAGCAGAAACUCGUAUCAGUUUUAUGAGGUAAAGCGAAUGAUUAGAGGCAUUGGGGAUGUAACAUCCUUAACCUAUUCUCAAACUUUAAAUGUGUAAGAAGUCCUUGUUACUUGAGUGAACGUGGACAUGCGAAUGAGAGUUUCUAGUGGGCCAUUUUUGGUAAGCAGAACUGGCGAUGCGGGAUGAACCGAUCGUGAGGUUAAAGUGCCGGAAUACACGCUCAUCAGACACCACAAAAGGUGUUAG